UGUACAUAUAAAGAAUGUAGGAAUAUAAAGAAUGUAGGAAGAUCUUCAUCAUUUCUUAAAUACAAUAUGUUAGAAAUUUUAAGUUUGAGAAAAAAAUUAUAGAAAUUAAUCAGUAAGUACAAUAUCAUUAUGUACAAUAUUACAUCAAUCAAUGUAUAGAUAACCUGAGGUACCUAUUACUACAACUUUCAUGCUAUAAACAAUUUUCCUUGUGUGUCACAUGUGGAGCAGAUUAACAGUAACUGAUUUAUUAGUAAGUUUCAUUCCUUCAUUGUUGUAAUUCAGCUUUCAUGGUGCAGUAGAUGAUUAUAUAACCAUAACUAGACAGUCUAGAGUAACAUGCUAUUAGGAGAAUGACAGUUCAUAACAGAAACAGCAUUAAAUAAGAAUUAUUAUUUUGCAGACACAAAGCAAUGAGGACCAGCCUGGAGCAACACAUUUGAUCUUCAGUGGCUUUACAAAGGACCAAGUGAUGGCAGAACUGAAGCCAUAUGCCUCAAAAGAGAAAGGUACAGCAAAGCUCUUCAGAAUGCUAUUCAAUAUAGAAGAGAUUAAAGGUCGCUCAUUGUUUGGUAUGAGGAAAGGGAACAGAGAGUCUGACGCCAGACCUUCUUGUGCAGACAAGGCAAAACUUAAGUUCUUGGAAGAUUGUGCGCUCGAAAAGUUGCCGACAACCUAAAGGACUGAACUCAAACCGUCCAGGAAUAGCAAGAUAAACUGAAGAAAAUAAAUGGACUAAUGUUUUGCUAUUUUUUGAGACAAUAUAUAAUUUCAUAUGGAAACAUUAAAAAGGAUUAUUUUUAAAAUUUGUUUGUUUCCAAUUUAGGGUACAGGGUGACUUUCAAGCAGUUUCCAGCUAUUGCCACCCACAAGGUGGAAAAUUUCUGAAAGGGUGAAAAUAGGUGGCAUUUAGUGGAAACUGAAUUUGCCACUAUCUGGUGGCAAAAUGGUGGAAAAGUGUCUAAAUACUCCACCAAUUUUCCACCCUUAUGGUGGCAAAAGGUAGAAAUAAGUGGCAUUUGGUGGAAAAUAAGUUUGCCACUCAAUGGUGGCAUAAUGGUGGAAAUUUGUCUAAAUACUCCACCAAUUUUCCACCAUUAUGGUGGCAAUAAGUGGAAACAAGUGGCAUCUAGUGGAAAAUGAGUUUGCCACCCUAAGGUGGCAUAAUGGUGGCAUUAUGGUGAAAGUUUGUCUAAAUACUCCACCAAUUUUCCACUCAUUGGUGGCAUUUAGUGUAAAAAAGGUGGAAUUAACUGGAAAAUUAUAUAACAUCAGUCCUGCUCAAAUUUUUCAUAAUUUUCAUGAUUUGGGUGGCGUUUUGGUGGCGUUUUGGUGGCAUUAUUGGUGGAAAAUUGUCUAAAUACUCCACCAUUGAAAAGGGUGGCAUUUUAGUGGCAAAUCUAGGGACGG
Long non-coding RNA from Ruditapes philippinarum (Manila clam), 1410 nucleotides. RefSeq lists it as uncharacterized. The record is from RefSeq and is a predicted model, not a curated record. Lineage: Eukaryota; Metazoa; Mollusca; Bivalvia; Venerida; Veneridae. The transcript is spliced from 3 exons.